This 496-nucleotide ribosomal RNA is filed under the name uncultured bacterium. Its description in RNAcentral is "partial 16S ribosomal RNA". It matches the Rfam family "Bacterial small subunit ribosomal RNA", at positions 28 to 507 of the family's 1533-position model. The record is from RNAcentral.
GACGAACGCUGGCGGCGUGCCUAAUACAUGCGAGUCGAGCGCACGGACGAUAAGCUUGCUUCUCAGAUGAUAGCGGCGGACGGGCGAGUAACACGUGGAUAACCUACCUAUAUGACUGGGAUCACUUCGUGAAACCGGAGAUAAUACCGGAAUAUAUUAUGAUCUUCAUUAUUCAAUGGUGAAAGACGGUAUUGCUCUCACUUAUAGCUGGAUCCGCGCUCUAUUAUCUAGUUGGUAAGGUAACGGCUUACCAAGGAAACGAUGCAUAGCCGACCUGAGAGGGUGAUCGGCCACUGGGGAACUGAGACACGGCCCAGACUCCGACGGGGGGCAGGAAGAGGGAAUCUGGCGAAGGGGGCGAAAGCGUGACGGAGCAACGCGCGGGAGUGAUGAAGGUCUUCGGAUCGUAAGACUCGGUGAAUAGGGAAGAACAUAUGUGGAAUGAACUGUGCACAUCUUGACGGUACCUAAUCAGAAAGCGACGGCUAACUACGUG